Triticum urartu is the source of this 1613-nucleotide non-coding RNA. The record is from RefSeq and is a predicted model, not a curated record. Lineage: Eukaryota; Viridiplantae; Streptophyta; Magnoliopsida; Poales; Poaceae.
CCCCAAAUCGAGUCUUUUGUGCCCUCGCCGCUGCCCCCCAAACGCGAUCUGCCAUCGCCGCCGCCCCCAACCAUCACCCCUCGCCACCGCUCCCAACCAUCACCCUCGCCGCCGCCCCGCAACCACCGCCGCCGCCGACUACCCUCCACUCCGACCACUGCCGCAGUCGCCCCCAGCACCCCACCUUGGCGCCGCCGAGCACCAACUAUCACGGAUCUAAGCCCCCGCCUGCCGGCCCAGUUGCCGAGCCACUCAAUCGCCGACCACCAUCCUUGACCGAACGAUCCAUCGCCACGACCCUACUCCGCGAGCUUCCUUGCCCGAGCAGCAGUUGUCACCGGAGCAUCGAGCGAGGCCGCCUCCUCUAUGUGACUACGUCCUCUGCCCCAAGCAGCGGACCGUCCGUCCCCUCCUACGAGCAACCCUACCUCCUCAACGUCCUCUCCCUUGGUGUUGUUUGAGUAUUACUAAUUUGCAAGACUGAUCAUCAGAGCUAGCAGCAGUGAAAGUAAACUGCAUCUUUCGAUGAAGUUGACGACGACAGCUACGGAUACAAAACGGGGAAAAAGAAUACAUUAUGGAGACUAUGCAAUGCUUUCUAUUUGCUAGAGACAACCUCCCCAACGACGUGUACCGUGAGUUUCUCAAGACCAUGACCGAGGUUUGGAAAAACUGUCCCAACUGCAGGGCUGACCCUGAUGGUGAAAUAAGGAACAUCUGCCCUGAAAACUGCAUAGAGACGGCGUUGAAGCUAUUCUCGGGCUGGGCUACAGUUAAGCAGAGCUUCCUGAACUUUACUGAAGGCCAUAGCCCCAUCGAAGGCAAUGACAAUGUCGAUGCUGAUGUUGAAGCCGUUGUUGUGUACCCCUUGCUACAUGAACCAAUGGAUUUUCUUUCCAGGUUGAAGAACUAGGCCCAGUUCUAAUUGAUUGGCGGGUUCCCGGUGUGGUCUUUUACUUGCUAUGUUGCGUCGCUUGAGGAAAGAGUGAGUAAAGAUGCUGAAAGAAGGUGUCUGUAAUUCUACUUGAAUCAUUGGCAGCAAUUUUGUCUGGGUUGCUCCUUCUGUACUUACUAGAGUGGUUGUAUUUACUACUGUAUUGUGUAUUCCAACUUCUAUUUAAUUAGGUUACUCUAGCUUAGCUCUUUUCAUUUUCACAAGGUGGUAUUUAAUAAUCUGUCUGGGUUUAGUGUCACCUAUUGUAGGGCUCAUUAUCUACAUCCUCUCCCUAGGCAGCACUGCCUCCUGUACUUCCUUGCCCCAACUGAGAGCAUUUGUCAGGUUGAUGGAGGUUCGGAAGAUCUACAAGUUGCUGUAGGUUUGUAAGAUCUACAUGUUGCUGGAAGUUUGUAAGAUCUACAAGUUGUUGCUGGAUGUUUGGAAGAUCUACAAGUUAAUGGAGUGAUAAUAUAUACAUAUGUAAUAUGCUUUGUUUGUUGAACCUUGAGACAUUGAGUUUUACACUGCAUUUUGGUGGUUGUUUCAGAACACAAGUCAUUGUAUGCUCAUUUUGGUUGUGGCAUGAUUUCUUACAUUUCCUUUGAGGCACAAUGUCCUUGUAUAUGGUUGGUACAUGCAUGCAUAAGAAACAUAUAUUUUUGGUCUGUUUAUUUUA